GUGACCCUGACCAAAAUAGACCGUGCACGCGUCAUCCAGCCUGCCGGCGGCGGCACCGUCCGUCGCUCGGCCAAGUCCUCGACAACCUCCUCUCCUCGGAGUGGGGGCUCGGGGUAAAAGAACCCACGACGCCUAAGGCGUCAAGGAACACUGUGCCUAGCCCGGGGACGCGGACGGCUUGCUGGCCGCCCCCUGUGCUGCAAUGCUAUUUAAUCCACACGACUCUCGGCAACGGAUAUCUCGGCUCU
RNAcentral lists this unclassified non-coding RNA (248 nucleotides) under rhizosphere metagenome. Its description in RNAcentral is "partial ribosomal RNA internal transcribed spacer region". The record is from RNAcentral.